UGGGGAAUUUUGGACAAUGGGCGAAAGCCUGAUCCAGCAAUGCCGCGUGUGUGAAGAAGGCCUUCGGGUUGUAAAGCACUUUUGUCCGGAAAGAAAUCCUUGGCUCUAAUACAGUCGGGGGAUGACGGUACCGGAAGAAUAAGCACCGGCUAACUACGUGCCAGCAGCCGCGGUAAUACGUAGGGUGCAAGCGUUAAUCGGAAUUACUGGGCGUAAAGCGUGCGCAGGCGGUUUGCUAAGACCGAUGUGAAAUCCCCGGGCUCAACCUGGGAACUGCAUUGGUGACUGGCAGGCUAGAGUAUGGCAGAGGGGGGUAGAAUUCCACGUGUAGCAGUGAAAUGCGUAGAGAUGUGGAGGAAUACCGAUGGCGAAGGCAGCCCCCUGGGCCAAUACUGACGCUCAUGCACGAAAGCGUGGGGAGCAAACAGGAUUAGAUACCCUGGUAGUCCACGCCCUAAACGAUGUCAACUAGUUGUGGGGAUUCAUUUCCUUAGUAACGUAGCUAACGCGUGAAGUUGACCGCCUGGGGAGUACAGUCGCAAGAUUAAAACUU
Molecule: ribosomal RNA, 553 nt
Filed under: uncultured bacterium
Lineage: Bacteria
Description: partial 16S ribosomal RNA
Rfam family: Bacterial small subunit ribosomal RNA
Source: RNAcentral